CAGUCGCCGCGGGAAUACGAAGGGGGCUAGCGUUGUUCGGAAUUACUGGGCGUAAAGGGCGCGUAGGCGGCCAUUCAAGUUAGAUGUGAAAGCCCUGGGCUCAACCUAGGAAUUGCAUUUGAUACUGUUUGGCUUGAGUUCGGGAGAGGUGAGUGGAAUUCCCAGUGUAGAGGUGAAAUCCGUAGAUAUUGGGAAGAACACCAGUGGCGAAGGCGGCUCACUGGACCGACACUGACGCUGAGGCGCGAAAGCGUGGGGAGCAAACAGGAUUAGAGACCCCAGUAGUCCCUGUCUCUUAUAA
Molecule: ribosomal RNA, 301 nt
Filed under: uncultured bacterium
Lineage: Bacteria
Description: partial 16S ribosomal RNA
Rfam family: Bacterial small subunit ribosomal RNA
Source: RNAcentral